UAUGUGAUCGUCUCUCGCAUAUCAAUAAGCGGAGGAAAAGAAACUAACAAGGAUUCCCCUAGUAACGGCGAGUGAAGCGGGAAGAGCUCAAAUUUGAAAUCUUAAAGGGUUUCCCUUUACGAAUUGUAGUUUAAAGAAGUGUUUUCUGUUGAGGUUUUGGUAAAAGUUCUUUGGAAUAGGACAUCAUAGAGGGUGAGAAUCCCGUAUUUGACCUUUACUUUCAACUUUGUGAUACACUUUCGAAAGAGUCGGAUUGUUUGGGAAUGCAGUCCAAAAUGGGUGGUAAAUUUCAUCUAAAGCUAAAUAUUGGCGAGGAGACCGAUAGCGAACAAGUACCGUGAGGGAAAGACUGAAAAGAACUUUGAAAAGAGAGUUAAACAGUACGUGAAAUUGUCAAAAGGGAAGCGUUUGACACCAGUGUUGUUUUUCUGAAAAUCAAUUAAAGAACUGUUUAUGCUAAGCUGUUUAGACUUUAUCAGCUAUCUGUUUAGUUUUGAGCUUUUCUUUAAUGCACUUUUCAGUUAACAAGUCAACAUCAAUUUCUUUUGCUGUAAAAAAGCUUGAGGAAGGUGGCUUGAGAUUCGUCUUAAGUGUUUAUAGCCUCUUGCCUAUGCAGUCGGAGAGAUUGAGGUCUGCAGCGUAGAUCCUUCGGGGCUAAAUGCAUUUGUGCUAAGUUAUAGCAUUUUCAUAGACAACUUGUUGACUAUGAUUUGUCUUGUAGCUUACUCGCUUAUGUUAUUUUACCUACGCUUAGGAUGUUGAUAUGCAUGACUGAUAU
Molecule: ribosomal RNA, 778 nt
Filed under: uncultured Neocallimastigales
Lineage: Eukaryota; Fungi; Neocallimastigomycota; Neocallimastigomycetes; Neocallimastigales
Description: partial large subunit ribosomal RNA
Rfam family: Eukaryotic large subunit ribosomal RNA
Source: RNAcentral